CGCGAAAGUCUAUUAAUCUUUUUGCGCAUUUAAGUCAUUUCAAAACAUGACGUCAUACAAAUGAAACCGCUAAAGUUGAAAGUUUUCUGUUGCGUGAACCAUCGGAAUUCGAAUGAUAUUGUAUUAAAAUUGAUUUUUGAGGUAGGUUUUGUUUUAUUUUCUAUUCUAUUGCAUUAUUCGCAUAUUUAUUCGUUUGAGCAAGUCAACAUGGCGGCUCCUUAGUUACAAAACGUCAACUUUGGAUUUAAUGGAAGCUUACGAGAAAAACAUGUAAAUUAAAAAUGGGAAAUGUUGGGUUUGAGAAUUUAAAGAAUUAAAAAGUUUUUUUUCUAGCAGUUAUUCACGAAACUAACUUACGCAAGCUACAUAUUUAUAAAGAUAUUUGAGCUUUAUCUAGCAGGGAGUAAAAAAGAACAGCCACACACACAGCAUACCCACCCUCGCUUCAGUUUUUUAAUGACCG
Molecule: long non-coding RNA, 463 nt
Filed under: Mytilus galloprovincialis (Mediterranean mussel)
Lineage: Eukaryota; Metazoa; Mollusca; Bivalvia; Mytilida; Mytilidae
Source: RNAcentral